UGGGACAGUGCCUAUGGGGAUCUCGCUACGGAUUCAUUCUGCAAGGGGGCAGGCUGACCUACUGAGAGGAUAGGCCUACAGUAAGGGAGGUACCAAAUGUGCCCUGCUUGCUUUGUGAUCUCUCUUAAUCCUCAGCCACACCACAAGGUAGGGGUGGAGGACUGUGGAGGCCCAGACCCUUGGUGUGUGUUUCACACUGAGCCUUAGAGAGUGACCUGCCAUCGCCUGCUGGCACUGCCACCUUCCCACAUCUGCAACACACUUCUGGGUCACAGAGCUUGACUUGAGGGAGAGUACACCCCACAGUACAGAGAGAUACAACCCACAGUACAGAGAGAUACGCCCACAGUACAGAGAGGUACGCCCACAGUACAGAGAGGUACACCCCACAGUACAGAGAGAUACAACCCACAGUACAGAGAGGUACGCCCACAGUACAGAGAGAUACAACCCACAGUACAGAGAGGUACGCCCCACAGGACAGAGAGAUACAACCCACAGUACAGAGAGAUACAACCCACAGCACAGAGAGAUACAAUCCACAGUACAGAGAGGUACGCCCCACAGUACAGAGAGGUACGCCCACAGUACAGAGAGAUACACCCACAGGACAGAGAGAUACAACCUACAGUACAGAGAGGUACAACCCACAGGACAGAGAGAUACAACCCACAGUACAGAGAGGUACGCCCACAGUACAGAGAGGUACGCCCACAGUACAGAGAGGUACGCCCACAGUACAGAGAGGUACACCCACAGUACAGAGAGGUACAACCCACAGUACAGAGAGGUACGCCCACAGUACAGAGAGAUACACCCACAGGACAGAGAGAUACAACCUACAGUACAGAGAGGUACAACCCACAGGACAGAGAGGUACAACCCACAGUACAGAGAACUACGCCCACAGUACAGAGAGGUACGCCCACAGUACAGAGAGGCACACCCCACAGUACAGAGAAGUACGCCCACAGUACAGAGAGGUACGCCCACAGUACAGAGGAUGCAGGGCCGGAAGAAAGCACAGUGGCUCCAGGAGCUCUCAUUUGGUGAACUGCAAUGCAGAUGCUAUAGCCCUGCAACUGUGCCCUCUGAAACCCUACGAAAGAGGCCUCGAUUUCCACAUUGUUAGUGGAAACAGCAUGGAUUCCUCUCACCCCUUGCAAAGUUGAUUGGUUUUUGUCUGGACAAGCACCGCACCACUGAGCUCCAUUGCUGGUCCUCUCUUCACCUUUUCCUUUGAGGCAGGGUCUCUCCCUAAAUUGCCGAUAUUGGCCUUGAUCUCCCUCUGUGGUUCAGCAGGCUGUGAGCUUGCCUUAGCUACCUGAGUAUCUGGUAUUAUAGACCUACACUUUUUGUAUUUUUGCGGUAUGGUGUGAGGUGGACAUUGACAGAGUCUCACUCUGUGUCCCAGGCUGGUUUGAACUUGUGAUCCUCCAGAGUUCUGGGAUAUCAGGAGCACACCAGCACAUCAGAGUCCCCUGUGGUGUUUAAAUAGCACAGUGGGAGGACUGAGGGUGUAGCUCAUUUGUAGAGCAUUUGCUUAGCACCUCGGAGACCCUGGAUUCCUUCCGCCAGCACUAGAAGUAAUAAAAGAACACACGAGAAAGUCUUAAAGGCUCAUGCUCACUUCAUUACUUUUUACUGCUUGGUUUAGGUAUUGGGGAUGGAACCUAGGGCCUUGUGCUUCUAGGCAAGUUCUCUACUUGCCCUUUCAUUUUUUAUUGCGAGUCAGGAGUUUCCCCAAGUCAGCCACCGCAUCGCUCAGAUGGUCCUCCAGCUCGCAGUCUUUCUGGUUCAGCUCCCCAGUAGCUGGGAUUACUAGCCCGUGCCGCUGUUAUUACUUGAUAAUGCCUAGAUGCUGAGCUUGUCUAGAACCUGGCAGUACAACACACACCCCUAGAAAAGUCCUGGGAACGAAACCUGAGUAGACAAGCAUGGCUGCCAGCCUCCUGUGUUUGUGCCUCUAUGUCCCUCUCUGUAAAAUGGGCAUGACAAGGACACCACUCCCCACUGUUAGGGCCACCCUCUACUCCCCCAACCUGUUCUUCAUUUGUUAGUGGAAGUUGCUGGUGGCAUUUCAUGCAGUAUAAGACCUCUCCUAAAUGCUGCUCCAAGCAGCCCAGGAGGACGCCAUGCAGCUGUACAGAGAGCUGCACCGGUUUCAGCGUUUUCAAGACCAACAACAUCAAAGCUAGUGAUCCUGCUCUGGUGCCAAGAGGGCGGGCCCCACAACAUGCAUUUUGUCACC
Alexandromys fortis (reed vole) is the source of this 2251-nucleotide long non-coding RNA. RefSeq lists it as uncharacterized. The record is from RefSeq and is a predicted model, not a curated record. The transcript has 3 exons. NCBI's taxonomy places the organism in Eukaryota, Metazoa, Chordata, Mammalia, Rodentia, Cricetidae.